UUAAGUUAAGGUUAAGGUUAGGGUUAGGUGUAGGAUUUGAUUUUAUGGUUGAUUAAGGGUUAAGGUUAGGGUAAGGUGUAGGAUUUGAUUUUAUGGUUGAUUAAGGGUUAAGGUAAGGGUAAGGUGUAGGGUUUGAUUCUAUGGUUGAUUAAGGGUUAAGGUUAGGGUUAGGUGUAGGGUUUGAUUUUAGGGUUGAUUAAGGGUUAAGGUUAGGGUAAGGUGUAGGGUUUGAUUUUAGGGUUGAUUAAGGGUUAAGGUUAGGGUAAGGUGUAGGGUUUGAUUUUAGGGUUGAUUAAGGGUUAAGGUUAGGGUAAGGUGUAGGGUUUGAUUUUAGGGUUGAUUAAGGGUUAAGGUUAGGGUAAGGUGUAGGGUUAGAUUUUAUGGUUGAUUAAGGGUUAAGGUUAGGGUUAGGUGUAGGGUUAGAUUAUAUGGUUGAUUAAGGGUUAGGGUUAGGUGUAGGGUUAGAUUUUUAUGGUUGAUUAAGGGUUAAGGUUAGGGUUAGGUGUAGGGUUUGAUUUUAGGGUUGAUUAAGGGUUAAGGUUAGGGUUAGGUGUAGGGUUAGAUUUUAUGGUUGAUUAAGGGUUAAGGUUAGGGUUAGGUGUAGGGUUUGAUUUUAGGGUUGAUUAAGGGUUAAGGUUAGG
Long non-coding RNA from Astyanax mexicanus (Mexican tetra), 641 nucleotides. RefSeq lists it as uncharacterized. NCBI's taxonomy places the organism in Eukaryota, Metazoa, Chordata, Actinopteri, Characiformes, Acestrorhamphidae. The transcript is spliced from 3 exons. The record is from RefSeq and is a predicted model, not a curated record.